GACGAACGCUGACGGCGUGCUUUAGACAUGCAAGUCGAACGAGAAAGCCCUUCGGGGUUAGUAAAGUGGCGAACGGGUGAGUAACACGUGGGCAAUCUGCCCUUCGUAGGGGGACAACCGGGGGAAACCCCGGCUAAUACCCCGUAAGCUUGUCGGGUCGCAUGGCCUGACAAGGAGAGGUAGCUUCGGCCAUCCGGCGAAGGAGGAGCCCGCGGUUCAUUAGCUAGUUGGUGAGGUAACGGCUCACCAAGGCUACGAUGUAUAGCUGGUCUGAGAGGAUGAUCAGUCACACUGGGACUGAGACACGGCCCAGACUCCUACGGGAGGCAGCAGUCGGGAAUCUUGCACAAUGGGCGAAAGCCUGAUGCAGCAACGCCGUGUGAGCGACGAAGGCCUUAGGGUCGUAAAGCUCUGUUGUUAGGGACGAAGGGCGAAGGGUUAAUAGCCCUUAGCCUGACGGUACCUUUCGAGGAAGCCCCGGCUAACUACGUGCCAGCAGCCGCAGUAA
Molecule: ribosomal RNA, 508 nt
Filed under: uncultured bacterium
Lineage: Bacteria
Description: partial 16S ribosomal RNA
Rfam family: Bacterial small subunit ribosomal RNA
Source: RNAcentral